ACCUUGUCAUCGUCCCAGCUUUGAAGUCAUUUAAGUAGAUGCUUCUGAGUCGAUCCAGGGAGCCACAGCUGACUUCCAGAUCUUGCCCUCUUUGUUGAUGUUUCUCCCUCAAAUGCAAUUCAUGAGGAGGUCCCAGGAAAACUGAAUUCCAGGCUUUUUAAGAAAGCAUAGAGUUCCCUGGGUCUACUAAGAACCAUCUGGCAGUCCAGCCAAGAAAAGGGGCCUCUGUAAAGCAGUGAACUCAGCGUGAGCCUCGCCGAGCCCCUGCCACUGAUGGACCUGUGCCGGAGAUCCGUCCGCUCGGCCCUGGGCCGCCAGCGCCUGCAGGACAUCAGCUCCCUGCCCCUGCCUCAGUCUCUCAAAAACUAUCUGCAGUACCAGUGAGCCGAGCCUGAUGGGCAGCACAGACACAGACACACACCGCAGGGCCCGACCCGCCUGUCAUGCACAGUCCCAUGGCACAUAGGAGAAAGGAUCUACCCUUCUCCUGACUCCCCAGGACACUCAGUUCUUUCAAAGACCAGAAUGUGGUACCAACUUUGGAAACGAAAGGUCUCUUGCCAACAGUAUCUACU
Molecule: small RNA, 575 nt
Filed under: Pongo abelii (Sumatran orangutan)
Lineage: Eukaryota; Metazoa; Chordata; Mammalia; Primates; Hominidae
Description: processed transcript
Source: RNAcentral